Molecule: long non-coding RNA, 2321 nt
Organism: Ctenopharyngodon idella (grass carp)
Lineage: Eukaryota; Metazoa; Chordata; Actinopteri; Cypriniformes; Xenocyprididae
Exons: 3
Source: RefSeq, a predicted model, not a curated record
UCACAUGAAGUUCAAUGAAGCAGCAUGGUAAACAGGUGAGUAUGGAAUUCAAAGUAGCAGGUUUGCGCUUAGCUUGAUCAUUCACAGUUCUUUGUUUGUUGCAGGUUCUGACUGGUAUGGUGCAGAUGAAGUAUGGGCUGGAUGUGAAGAAGGAAAACAUGAUGCAUUAAGAGUCGGGGAUGUAAACUUUUUAAAUUGGAUGAACAGGAUAAACUGUACUUUUUUUGUCCUCUGGGAAACAUGUAAUUAUCUUGUGUAGCUUCCGAAGGGCAGUACUAAAUGAAAAAAAUAUGAUCUUUAAACAAAAUAAGAAAAACUUGCACAUCAUCUUCUUGUUCAAAAGUUUUCACCCCCCGACCCUCAAUGCAUUGUGUUUCCUUCUGGAACAUCAGUGAAUGUUUGCAGCUUUAUUAUUAGUUGUGUUUGUGUCCCUCAGUGUGAAAAGAUGGAUCUCAAAAUCAUACAGUGACUGCUGGAAAGGGUUCAAAUAUGCAGAAGAUGCUGGAAAAUCAAAGAAUUUGCAGGACAUGGAGGAUUUUUCUGAAGAACAGAGCUCAGGACAAACAAGGGACUCAUGAACAACCAUCACAAAACAAACAACCAGUCGUGGAUCAUCCAGGUAACCACACACAGUAUUAAGAAUCAAUGGGAUGUAAACUUUUGAACUGGGUCAUUUUUAUAAAUUCAGCUAUUUUUUGUCUUGUGGACUACAUGUAAAAUGUUAUGUGGAAUAGUGUCAUCUAAGGAUAGGCUAUAUGACUCUCUUGCAUUGGCUAGGGUUAGUGUUUAUGAGUCCACUAUCAGACAAACAUUGAACGUGAAUGGUGUGCACUGAAUAGCAAGGAGGAAGCCAAUGCUCUCCAAAAAAGUUUGCCAAAGACUAUGUUGAUGAACCAGAAUGUUUUGUGCACAAAUGAGUCCAAAAUAACACUUCUAAGUUUAAACAAGACAUUUACAUUUAGUGAAAACCAAACUCUACUUUUAAGGAUACUGGAAACAGCAACAUAAAAGUGUAAUUAAAAAAAGACAAAUAUUGUUAUUAUAACUUUUUUUAAUUGUCCCAAACUAACUUAUCUCCUAAAGCUUCUGAAAUGUUUGUACAAUACAAUGAUAAUCAACUUUCCAAGAUUCUCACCAGGCAAUGCUUUUGUAUAUUGACAUAUAACUAAUCACAUGUCCUGGGAAUGCCAUGUAAAUAUGACCUAAUGUUCAAAUAAAGCUACAAAUAAUAACAAUAAAUCUAGUUACAAAGCUAUGAGUAAUAGCAAAUCCAGUUUUUAACUACUUUUCCUAAAUUGACCAAAGAAAUAUGCUCACCCUUACAAUGUGCUGUUGGUCAGUUUGGCUUUAUAAUUGCUCCAUUUAAAUGUAUUACAUUCACAGUUAUAAAAAUAGCACAGUUUCACAAUAAAUAUAUUGUCUGUCCUGAUCUCCUCAGGUACAGGCUGUUUAUGGUGGUUGCGUAACGGUUCUCAGGAUGAAAUGCCUUCUGUCCAUCAUCACCUUUUUAUUUCCUUCUAAAUCGGGCAGCAAUUCGGCAAUCAUCUUUGACAAGCCCUCUCAUAUGUCUCUUGCUUUAUCUCAUUCUCUCAGCCAGGGUCAAAUGUUUCCAGUGCUCUCCUGUCUGAGUGUGUGGGCACGUCUGAGUGCUUCAGCUGGAUUUUGGUGCUCCAGAAUCCAUCAGUACAAUUGGCCUGUCCUAUAGUUGCAGACAGCUUUGAUAUAUUAACUGUAAAACCCAAUACAGAUGAGUGACAGGAGUAAUUGUCUUCCAGCUUUAAUGAUAUUAUCGAUAUUUUAAUUUUCACUAUACAUGACUGCUUCACUUGCGUCAUUCUGUCAAUAUUCAUUCAGAAUCACAUGAGAAAAAAAUGUUUUGUGAGACCGUCUGUCCUCCUUUCUCUCACUGGACCCUCUUGCUCAGUCCCAGCGGCUGCUAGACACCAUAACUCAGGGUCAAGUGCUCAGUUAGACGCUAAAUAGACUGACAACUAUGAUAUUGCUCUCUUCUCUUUGUCGAAGCCUGUUCGGGAUCUCAGAGGGGCAUUUGAGCUCUGAUGGAUGGGACCAGUCGCCUGUGGUAUAAAGUUCAAAACCAGUCAAAACACAUUCAAACUGCCCAGAAGACUCCUGAAAAUAACCAUGUGUGACUCUGAGGUUGACAGAAACUAUAAGUCAGGCAUGGUGCUGACACACAGUGUAACUGCCGUGAUGGCCACAAACACCACAGAGAGGCAGGCAAAGAUCUUCCCAGGAAUCCCAGAGUGAGGGUUCUCCACCAUGUCUCUGAGGCUGUGCAUGCACCCAGCCAGACGACCCUC